GACGAACGCUGGCGGCGUGCUUAACACAUGCAAGUCGAGCGGUAAGGCCCUUUCGGGGGUACACGAGCGGCGAACGGGUGAGUAACACGUGGGUGACCUGCCCUCAGCUCUGGGAUAAGCCUGGGAAACCGGGUCUAAUACCGGAUAUGACUCCAUGACGCAUGUUGUGGGGUGGAAAGCCUUGUGCGGCUGAGGAUGGGCCCGCGGCCUAUCAGCUUGUUGGUGGGGUGAUGGCCUACCAAGGCGACGACGGGUAGCCGGCCUGAGAGGGCGACCGGCCACACUGGGACUGGA
RNAcentral lists this ribosomal RNA (294 nucleotides) under uncultured bacterium. RNAcentral's name for it is "partial 16S ribosomal RNA". It matches the Rfam family "Bacterial small subunit ribosomal RNA", at positions 28 to 323 of the family's 1533-position model. The record is from RNAcentral.